AUACGUAGGUGGCAAGCGUUACUCGGAAUCACUAGGCGUAAAGCGCAGGUAGGAGGUUUGGUAAGUCUGUUGUGAAAGCUCCCGGCUUAACUGGGAGAGGCCAACGGAAACUACCAGGCUAGAGUGCGGUAGAGGUAGCUGGAAUUCCCGGUGUAGCGGUGAAAUGCGUAGAUAUCGGGAGGAAUACCUAUGGCGAAAGCAGGCUACUGGACCGUCACUGACUCUGAUCUGCGAAAGCUAGGGGAGCAAACA
RNAcentral lists this ribosomal RNA (252 nucleotides) under uncultured prokaryote. Its description in RNAcentral is "partial 16S ribosomal RNA". It matches the Rfam family "Bacterial small subunit ribosomal RNA", at positions 523 to 774 of the family's 1533-position model. The record is from RNAcentral.